GCCCAAGUGGCGAAAUUGGUAGACGCGCCAUCUUGAGGGGGUGGUGCCGAAAGGCGUCGCGGUUCGAGUCCGCGCUUGGGCA
RNAcentral lists this transfer RNA (82 nucleotides) under Gemmatimonadaceae bacterium. Its description in RNAcentral is "tRNA-Leu". It matches the Rfam family "tRNA". Rfam says of the family: Transfer RNA (tRNA) molecules are approximately 80 nucleotides in length. Their secondary structure includes four short double-helical elements and three loops (D, anti-codon, and T loops). Further hydrogen bonds mediate the characteristic L-shaped molecular structure. tRNAs have two regions of fundamental functional importance: the anti-codon, which is responsible for specific mRNA codon recognition, and the 3' end, to which the tRNAs corresponding amino acid is attached (by aminoacyl-tRNA synthetases). tRNAs cope with the degeneracy of the genetic code in two manners: having more than one tRNA (with a specific anti-codon) for a particular amino acid; and 'wobble' base-pairing, i.e. permitting non-standard base-pairing at the 3rd anti-codon position. Lineage: Bacteria; Pseudomonadati; Gemmatimonadota; Gemmatimonadia; Gemmatimonadales; Gemmatimonadaceae. The record is from RNAcentral. RNAcentral also lists the same sequence under 1 other name.